UACAGAGGUCCCAAGCGUUGUUCGGAUUCACUGGGCGUAAAGGGUGCGUAGGCGGUCGGGUAAGUCUGACGUGAAAUCUUCAAGCUCAACUUGGAAACUGCGUAGGAUACUAUUCGGCUCGAGGAAUGGAGGGGAGACUGGAAUUCUCGGUGUAGCAGUGAAAUGCGUAGAUAUCGUGAGGAAGACCAGUGGCGAAGGCGGAUCUCUGGAGAGUUCCUGACGCUGAGGCACGAAGGCCAGGGGAGCAAACGGG
RNAcentral lists this ribosomal RNA (253 nucleotides) under uncultured bacterium. RNAcentral's name for it is "partial 16S ribosomal RNA". It matches the Rfam family "Bacterial small subunit ribosomal RNA", at positions 524 to 776 of the family's 1533-position model. The record is from RNAcentral.